Molecule: ribosomal RNA, 329 nt
Filed under: uncultured eukaryote
Lineage: Eukaryota
Description: partial 18S ribosomal RNA
Rfam family: Eukaryotic small subunit ribosomal RNA
Source: RNAcentral
CCCUUAGAUGUUCUGGGCCGCACGCGCGCUACACUGAUACAAUCAACAAGCAGUUUCCUUGGCUGAAAGGUCCGGGUAAUCUUGUGAAAUUGUAUCGUGAUAGGGCUUGACGAUUGUAAUUAUUUGUCACAAACGAGGAAUUCCUAGUAAGCGCAAGUCAUCAACUUGCACUGAUUACGUCCCUGCCCUUUGUACACACCGCCCGUCGCUCCUACCGAUUGAAUGUUAAGGCGAACCCUCCGGAAACGUGGUUUGAUUUGGGCAACCUCUUUGAACCAACGAUGAAGUUGUGUAAGCCUUGACAUUUAGAGGAAGGAAAAGUCGUANCA